RNAcentral lists this ribosomal RNA (301 nucleotides) under uncultured bacterium. RNAcentral's name for it is "partial 16S ribosomal RNA". It matches the Rfam family "Bacterial small subunit ribosomal RNA", at positions 509 to 809 of the family's 1533-position model. The record is from RNAcentral.
CAGUAGCCGCGGUAAUACAGAGGGUGCGAGCGUUAAUCGGAUUUACUGGGCGUAAAGCGUGCGUAGGCGGCUAAUUGAGUCGGAUGUGAAAUCCCCGAGCUUAACUUGGGAAUUGCAUUCGAUACUGGUUAGCUAGAGUGUGGGAGAGGAUGGUAGAAUUCCAGGUGUAGCGGUGAAAUGCGUAGAGAUCUGGAGGAAUACCGAUGGCGAAGGCAGCCAUCUGGCCUAACACUGACGCUGAGGUACGAAAGCAUGGGGAGCAAACAGGAUUAGAUACCCCGGUAGUCCCUGUCUCUUAUAU